This 88-nucleotide transfer RNA is filed under the name Salmo salar (Atlantic salmon). It matches the Rfam family "tRNA". Rfam says of the family: Transfer RNA (tRNA) molecules are approximately 80 nucleotides in length. Their secondary structure includes four short double-helical elements and three loops (D, anti-codon, and T loops). Further hydrogen bonds mediate the characteristic L-shaped molecular structure. tRNAs have two regions of fundamental functional importance: the anti-codon, which is responsible for specific mRNA codon recognition, and the 3' end, to which the tRNAs corresponding amino acid is attached (by aminoacyl-tRNA synthetases). tRNAs cope with the degeneracy of the genetic code in two manners: having more than one tRNA (with a specific anti-codon) for a particular amino acid; and 'wobble' base-pairing, i.e. permitting non-standard base-pairing at the 3rd anti-codon position. Lineage: Eukaryota; Metazoa; Chordata; Actinopteri; Salmoniformes; Salmonidae. The record is from Rfam by way of RNAcentral.
CCUUCUAUAGCUCAGUCGGUAGAGUGGUGGCCUGUAGACUAAAUGACAACAAUCCUUAGGUUGCUGGUUCAAAAUCUGGCUAGAGGGA